RNAcentral lists this ribosomal RNA (590 nucleotides) under Streptomyces novaecaesareae. RNAcentral's name for it is "bacterial SSU rRNA". It matches the Rfam family "Bacterial small subunit ribosomal RNA", at positions 125 to 728 of the family's 1533-position model. The record is from RNAcentral. Lineage: Bacteria; Bacillati; Actinomycetota; Actinomycetes; Kitasatosporales; Streptomycetaceae.
UCUGCCCUUCACUCUGGGACAAGCCCUGGAAACGGGGUCUAAUACCGGAUAACACUUCCACUCUCCUGAGUGGUGGUUAAAAGCUCCGGCGGUGAAGGAUGAGCCCGCGGCCUAUCAGCUUGUUGGUGAGGUAAUGGCUCACCGAGGCGACGACGGGUAGCCGGCCUGAGAGGGCGACCGGCCACACUGGGACUGAGACACGGCCCAGACUCCUACGGGAGGCAGCAGUGGGGAAUAUUGCACAAUGGGCGAAAGCCUGAUGCAGCGACGGGGCGUGAGGGAUGACGGCCUUCGGGUUGUAAACCUCUUUCAGCAGGGAAGAAGCGAAAGUGACGGUACCUGCAGAAGAAGCGCCGGCUAACUACGUGCCAGCAGCCGCGGUAAUACGUAGGGCGCAAGCGUUGUCCGGAAUUAUUGGGCGUAAAGAGCUCGUAGGCGGCUUGUCACGUCGGGUGUGAAAGCCCGGGGCUUAACCCCGGGUCUGCAUUCGAUACGGGCUAGCUAGAGUGUGGUAGGGGAGAUCGGAAUUCCUGGUGUAGCGGUGAAAUGCGCAGAUAUCAGGAGGACGACCGGGUGGCGAAGGCGGAUCU